Molecule: long non-coding RNA, 748 nt
Organism: Pezoporus occidentalis (night parrot)
Lineage: Eukaryota; Metazoa; Chordata; Aves; Psittaciformes; Psittacidae
Exons: 3
Source: RefSeq, a predicted model, not a curated record
UCCCGUCCUCACAGCACUUGCGCAGGGCCUUGUCCUUGUACUCGGCCGCUGCAGGCACCAAGGGACCCAGCUGGUACCCAGCCCCAGAGCCCAUCACCAGGGCCGUGGGGCGCGGUGGUGUCCUUUGGGAUGUGGGGUGCUGUGGGGUCACCAGGGACAUGGGACACAUUGGUGUCCUUUGGGAUGUGGGAUGCUGUGGGGUCACCAGGGACAUGGGACACAUUGGUGUCCUUUGGGAUGUGGGAUGCUGUGGGGUCACCAGGGCCAUGGGACACAGGGGUGUCCUUUGGGAUGUGGGAUGUUGUGGGGUCACCAGGGACAUGGGACACAGGGGUGUCCUUUGGGAUGUGGGAUGCUGUGGGGUCACCAAGGCCAUGGGGUGCAAAGGUGUCCUUUGGGAUGUGGGAUGCUGUGGGGUCAUCAGGGCCAUGGGACACGAUGGUGUCCUUUGGGAUAUGGGAAGCUGGUGUUCCAUGGGGCAUGGGAUGUUGUGUUAUUUCCAGGGACAUUGUGAUGUCCUUCAAGGACAUGGGACACUGGUACUGGGAUAGGUGCCAUGGGAUGGACAUGGGACACUGGUACUGGGAUAGGUGCCAUGGGAUAGCCAUGGAACACUGGUAUUGACUGGGACAUGGGCCCUGGUGCCCCCUGGGGCCAUGGGAUGCUCCCAGUGCCACCUACCCUUGGUGCCCUUGUACUCAAUGAGCUGCAUGGAGCGGCGCUUGCGUUGUGCAGGUUGGGGACACUU